RNAcentral lists this ribosomal RNA (668 nucleotides) under Flammeovirga yaeyamensis. RNAcentral's name for it is "partial 23S ribosomal RNA". It matches the Rfam family "Bacterial large subunit ribosomal RNA", at positions 2246 to 2925 of the family's 2925-position model. The record is from RNAcentral. Lineage: Bacteria; Pseudomonadati; Bacteroidota; Cytophagia; Cytophagales; Flammeovirgaceae.
CCCGGACAUUGUUUGGUGGGUAGUUUGACUGGGGUGGUCGCCUCCAAAAGAGUAACGGAGGCUUUCCAAGGUUCCCUCACGACGGUCGGCAAUCGUCGGAAGAGCGCAAUGGCAUAAGGGAGCCUGACUGCGAGAGAGACAUCUCGACCAGGCACGAAAGUGGGACAUAGUGAUCCGGUGGUACCGCAUGGAAGGGCCAUCGCUCAAAGGAUAAAAGGUACUCUGGGGAUAACAGGCUGAUCUCCCCCAAGAGCUCAUAUCGACGGGGAGGUUUGGCACCUCGAUGUCGGCUCGUCACGUCCUGGGGCUGGAGAAGGUCCCAAGGGUUGGGCUGUUCGCCCAUUAAAGUGGCACGCGAGCUGGGUUCAGAACGUCGUGAGACAGUUCGGUCUCUAUCUGUUGCGGGCGUUGGAAAUUUGAGAGGCUCUGACUUUAGUACGAGAGGACCGAGUUGGACACACCUCUGGCGUACCGGUUGUUCCGCCAGGAGCAUCGCCGGGUACCUAUGUGUGGAGCGGAUAAGCGCUGAAAGCAUCUAAGCGCGAAACCCACCUCGAGAUGAGAUUUCCUUAUGAGGGUUGUUAUAGAUGAUGACGUUGAUAGGCUUCAAGUGUAAGUUCAGAGAUGGAUUAAGCUGAGAAGUACUAAUCGCCCGAAAGCUUUUCUUC